CGACUACAUGGGAGUGCAGCGACAUAGUCAUUACGCUAACUGCUGGUCCCACUCAACCCAAUUUCUAUCUUUCUGAUUCUCUGACAGACCUGGGACGCUGCUCUUCCCCGCCCCCCCCGGAUUUAAACAAAACAAUGCUGUUAGUUUAUAUGCUCAUCCAGACCUGAACUGCAGUCCCAGUCUGCCUUGUCCUCACUGUGUGGCGACAGGAUGCAAACAGGAAGUGUGGGUGAAGCUUCUAACUUGGCCCCGUCGCAUAGUAGGCUAGUCCCUUAUCAUGGUUACUGACAGCCUGGAUCCCUUCCAGCACUGCCACUUCCCAGCUGUGAAGCCGUGGGCAGACUAACCCCUCUCCACGAUGUGCCUGCCAGAGAGUGACAGCAUCAGGACCUACCCGAGGACCACUGAGCGAGUUCAGGGCCUUCAGAAGCAUACAGCACUUAGGGUGGUGCCCGGGCCCCACCCCAUGCCUUCCAGUAACCCCUGUCAUUCCUCCUGAAACAAAUUUACAGUAGACACAGCACUCCGGUGCUCGAUUUUGCUCAUUGAACAAUAUAUCCUGAAGACCAGCCUGUCACAUACUGAAGAGCUUCCACCUCCCUUCUGAGGGAUAAUUAGCAUUCUACAGAGAUGUGGCAUAAUCAUCCCACCAGCUCCCUACUCACGGACACCAAGCGCAGAGACCUAAAUCUCUCUUAAAAAAAAAAAAAGAAGAAGAAGGGCUGGUCUCUUACCUGCCGGAUUAUUAUCAGUGCACAGAGACGAUGUAAGAGGCGAAGGAAAUCUCAGAAAUGAGUCUGAAGUCUGCAGAGGAACCCCAUACUGCAAACACAACCAGUGGCUGUUACGGAAAUAAACAAACUUCAAAAUAAAGUUUCACACAGGAAAACCCCAUCAUAUCUACCAAAAGGAUUCACCUAUCAAGUAUCAAUUGC
This is a long non-coding RNA of Tupaia belangeri chinensis (Chinese tree shrew), 935 nucleotides long. RefSeq lists it as uncharacterized. NCBI's taxonomy places the organism in Eukaryota, Metazoa, Chordata, Mammalia, Scandentia, Tupaiidae. The transcript has 4 exons. The record is from RefSeq and is a predicted model, not a curated record.